GCCCGCCUAGCUCAAUCGGAUAGAGCGUCAGACUCUUACCGAUUCUAGGCGGAUCUGAAGGCUGCGAGUUCGACCCUCGCGGUGGGCU
This is a transfer RNA of 88 nucleotides. It matches the Rfam family "tRNA". Rfam says of the family: Transfer RNA (tRNA) molecules are approximately 80 nucleotides in length. Their secondary structure includes four short double-helical elements and three loops (D, anti-codon, and T loops).